RNAcentral lists this unclassified non-coding RNA (253 nucleotides) under uncultured Caulobacteraceae bacterium. RNAcentral's name for it is "contains 16S-23S intergenic spacer region". It matches the Rfam family "Bacterial small subunit ribosomal RNA", at positions 524 to 776 of the family's 1533-position model. The record is from RNAcentral. Lineage: Bacteria; Pseudomonadati; Pseudomonadota; Alphaproteobacteria; Caulobacterales; Caulobacteraceae.
UACGAAGGGGGCUAGCGUUGCUCGGAAUUACUGGGCGUAAAGGGCGCGUAGGCGGGUGUUUAAGUCAGAGGUCAAAUCCCAGAGCUCAACUCUGGAACUGCCUUUGAUACUGGACACCUAGAGUACGGGAGAGGUGUGUGGAACUCCGAGUGUAGAGGUGAAAUUCGUAGAUAUUCGGAAGAACACCAGUGGCGAAGGCGACUCACUGGCCCGGUACUGACGCUGAGGUGCGAAAGCGUGGGGAGCAAACAGG